UGUCAAGAGUAUAUUGAGUAUUGACUGUCUC
RNAcentral lists this non-coding RNA (31 nucleotides) under Rattus norvegicus (Norway rat). The record is from RNAcentral. Lineage: Eukaryota; Metazoa; Chordata; Mammalia; Rodentia; Muridae.